AAAAAAGAUAUAAUUCUCACAUAUGAUGAAGGACUGGAAGGAAAAGACAGAGAGCAAAAAGUAAAAUGGCAGAUGGACAUCUUAGGAUGAACUGAAGAGACUCCUGACCAACUGUGAGGUCUCAAGCAGGCAGAGGGAAAGAUAUCAUGUCCUGUAUUGUUUCAUUUUUUUCAUCAGUCACAGCAAAUACGGAGCACACAAACCAAUCCAUUGGAACGCAAAAUUAUAACGUACAGAUUUAUGCAAGAGGGAUGACUGCAAAGUGCGUUUCAUGAGCAGUGCUCUGAACAAACAUGUUUUUCCAGAAUCGACUAAUAAGAUUACUAAUUGCAUUUCAUCAACAGAAUUGUUUAUCAGGAUCUGUGUCUUGAUUAAGAUUCUGUUGUGGCAAGUGCCUCUAUCAAUCACAGGGAGAUCAAGUCCUUGCCUGAAGAUGUGCAUAUAA
Molecule: long non-coding RNA, 445 nt
Organism: Parus major (Great Tit)
Lineage: Eukaryota; Metazoa; Chordata; Aves; Passeriformes; Paridae
Source: Ensembl